GCUAAGAAUAUUCCGCAAUGGACGAAAGUCUGACGGAGCGACGCCGCGUGGAUGAAGAAGGCCGAAAGGUUGUAAAGUUCUUUUGUUGGGGAAGAAUAACCAUGGGAGGGAAUGCCCGUGGGAUGACAUGAACCGACGAAUAAGCCCCGGCUAACUACGUGCCAGCAGCCGCGGUAACACGUAGGGGGCGUGCGUUGUUCGGAAUUACUGGGCGGAAAGGGCAUGUAGGCGGUCUUGUAAGCUUGGUGUGAAAGACCACGGCUCAACCGUGGGAUUGCGUUGAGAAAUUCGAGGCUUGAGUGACGGAGAGGGAGCUAGAAUUCCUGGUGUAGGGGUGGAAUCUGUAGAGAUCAGGAAGAAUACCAAGGGCGAAGGCAAGCUCCUGGCCGAUGACUGACGCUGAGGUGCGAAAGUGUGGGGAUCAAACAGGAUUAGAUACCCGAGUAGUCC
Molecule: ribosomal RNA, 450 nt
Filed under: uncultured bacterium
Lineage: Bacteria
Description: partial 16S ribosomal RNA
Rfam family: Bacterial small subunit ribosomal RNA
Source: RNAcentral